AGAUCAAAGUGUAGGUUUCAAGGGAUGUGUAGGGAUAUUGGAAAUUAUAAGUAAUGUUUUUGGAUGGAGAAGUUCUACAGGGCAAAGUCAAGAGCUCAGAUAUUGUACGUUCCAUAAGAAGAGUUGAGUUCCAAGGGCUAGAAUAAAAGGAGCUUUGGGUAAGCAUGGGUGCAGCAAGGUUUGAUAGAUCAGUUUGGUUCAGUAUAUCAGUAAAGUCAGAGAUUAGGAGAAAGGAAAGUGUUAGUAAACAACGGAGCAACAUUAGUGGAAGCUGACAAUAUGGUUCGGAGUAUCAACAACGAUUAACGAUUGGGAUUUAAAAGAGAAAGUGGUAGAUGGCUUUAAAGCUUAAGUUUAGAAAGGAAUUAGAAGAAGAAGAGUUUGAGAAAUAAUUGUGUAAGACAUAGAGCAGAUUAAGAAGAGCUUAAUAGAAGGUAGAAUUUCCAUGUUAAGAACACGAAGUCUUUGACGAAGAAUGAGGUAUCGUAAGGGUUAAAGUUAAGUAAUAUAAUUAGAAGGAGUGGUCAAGCUUUCUCAACAAGUAGAUGAUUCAUAGUCAAGCUUAUGAUUAUGUUUCAAGAUUAGUUUUUCGCAUAGAAGGAAUGUUUGAUCUCGGGUUGAGGUGGAAGACUUCAAGCACCGGAGGAAGAGGCGCAUCAGGAAGCCAGUUAAAAAAAAAGGUAAGACGAUAAGAUCGAAAGCAUGAGGAAUUAGGAAUAGUGAAGAAAAGUUUUUGAAGUGCAUGAAAAAGGGUGAUUGCAAUAUAAUCAGCUAAAGUGGGUAUUGAGAAUGAUCAUAGAGAUUGGUAAAGUCAGUUUUCAUCGGGUGUGGUUUUGUGGUGAUGUUUAGCGGUCGACUAAGUUUGAUCAAGAUAGAAGUGGAUGUUUAAUUAUGGUUAAACAGGGCAGUGAAUUGGUAAAUUCAGAUAAGGUCAGAGGGUCGACGUUGUGGGCUAGGGGUAUUCGGAGUUCAUAGGAUUAAAGGUAGGAUUAGUAUUUUAAUGAUUCUGAAUUGAGGAAGGUGAUUUUAGGACAAGGAUGUAAACUACGUUGCCAAUGAUAAGUACAUGAGGAAUUCUAAGUAAAUCUGGUAUUUGGGAGUCGCUAUAAGAGCUCAGGUUUGAGGUUUAUAGAAAGUAAUUUCUUGGCAAGAAGGAAAAGCAAGGAUGAUGCAUCAGGUAUUGUUUAGCAAAAGAUGGUGGCAAGUGUUAUGGGAAUCCAAGAUGUUUGAUAAGCUUAAGUGAAGAAGAUAUGAUGUCGUCGUUCCUAAGUCUGAGGUGUGAUUACAAGAGAGGUUUAUUUGUUUUCAAAUUGUUUCGGGUGGUUAUGGCCUUCAAAAGAAGUACUGUGUUGUGAGAAGAGGAAGCCUAGUUAUGCAUUAGAAGUGGGUCAAGUAUAAAGGAGAAAAUAAAGGGUUGUAGGAGUCAAAAUAUGUUAGCAAGAAUACGUGGAGAAGUGGUGGAUUGGUUAGAGCAAUUUGGACUCAGUGUAUUGGAAGGGAGAACUACAAGGUUAAAGAGUCUCAAAAGGAAAGUAGAAGGCAAGUUGAAAUAUUUUAGUUAAGUCUUGGUAAUAAGGAGUGAGUUCAAGCAUGUACGCUUUUCGAGGAGUAGAAAUAAUGUUGAGGAAAUGGAAUGACAAGAUUAUCAUGGAAGAAAGGAAUUACAGACUGUUGCAAAGUCAUAGAAGGUUUGAAGAAGGCUCUUCAAGGGUGAUCAUCUUCGGGUUACAAUUGUCAUGAGGAAGUGAUCUUUGAGUCAACUAGUGGACAAGGGAGUUUGAGGAUCAGAGUAGUGCAACGAAUGACGAUGAGCAUAUUGUUGUUAGUAAUAGGUAUCAGACGAAAGAGAUAAGGGAGCCUACGGUUUCAAGCUACAUGAUCAACUUUAAAGUGAGGAGGUAUUAAUGGACUUGGAACAGGAAGAGUGGGUCAGUGGACGAAGGGGAUGAUUUGAACUAUGGUUUUGAGUUAUAGCGGCAAUCUAGAGGUAAGGAAAUGUUAACAGAUAGUUUAAACAAAGAGAAGAUUCAGGUUAUUGGUUUGUUACGGGCAUAGAUCAAGAGUUAGUUGAAUAAGUGUGGAGAUCAGCGUCUAAAGGGAAUGUAAUAAAGAGAACUCAUUAGUAUAGUUGAAGUACUAUAACUAGUAAGUUUCUCAAGGUGGUUCAGCUAGGGCGAUUGGAUAAAUCCUAGUUUGAGAGGUAUCUUAAGUUGGAUAAGUACUGAUCAAGCUAGUGAUUUCAAGUUGAGCAGGAUAUAGAUCCAAGUAUGGUUUAGUUUGGUAGGUUAAAGGAAUGAAGAUGGAGUGUUCACUUUGUUUUAGAAGUUGCAAUAGAGAAGAAUUUUGCUUUGGUAAUGAGAUAGUAUAGUUGGAAACUAUGCUACUCAAGCGUAGAGAUCAGUAAACUAAGGUGAAGUACUCGAAAUUUAUGUGGUUGGAGGUGAUCAAGAUCAUAAUAGUUAGUAGUUAAAUCGGAAUAUAUGGUGAUCAAGUCAGUGGUAGGAUGAUUCUUAGAAGAAACAAGAGGAGGUAAAAGGGUAUCAAUCAAGGGUUGAUCUGAAGCAAAGACUAGUGGAAGUCCUAGAAGAGAUUUACAAGGAGGAGCAAAAGAUAGAUGAGGGGUUGGCGAUGUUGCAGACCUAAUAGGGUUGGUUAUGUGGAAACAAAGUUCUUAAAAGCUGAGGUGUAGGAGUUCAAAGUUUUUUUGAGCAUAAUGGCUAAACCAAUCUACACUAUUUAACACUAGAGCAUUUUAGCACAGAGGUAAGAUUUUUCAUGUCAGUAAAGUUGUUGGGGAGUUGUAUCCUUGUCAUAUAGGUAGUUGUAAUAGAGAAGGUGAUGAUAGUUGAGUGCUUCUUCUAUCUUAUAAGUGAAUUUUCGAGGACAAAAUUUUUUCUUGAUGGGGAGAAUGUAAGGACUCAUAAAAUAAAAACUUUGACAGUGUACAAUUGGCAGGAGAUCAGUGGUGUGAGCAAGUGUUCCUAAAACAAAGAUUUAAUUUGUAAAAUAUACUUAAGCUCAUAUCAUUUGUCUGAACAACCAACACCCUUCUCCCAAAGUUUUAUUUCCUUUCGUCUUCAUUCUCACAUCAUUUUCCUUCCACUAAUUCAACUUAAUCCUGAUCAGGAAGUGAUUGGGUCAUCCCAGCGUUGUGAACUACGAAAUCAACUGCUCAGUAUAGUGUCUUCCAUCUGGUAGGUUUUUCCCCUAAAUUUCCUUUUCAUAUUUUGAAAUGUUACCACGCAAUGUUCUACCUUGCAUGUGUUUAACAGCUCCUUUUCUCUAAUUAUUGGUUCAAUCAAAGUCUAAAAAAUCAUCU
Molecule: long non-coding RNA, 3319 nt
Filed under: Vigna radiata
Lineage: Eukaryota; Viridiplantae; Streptophyta; Magnoliopsida; Fabales; Fabaceae
Description: long non-coding RNA (VRAD_LNC006791)
Source: RNAcentral